Long non-coding RNA from Ipomoea nil (Japanese morning glory), 190 nucleotides. RefSeq lists it as uncharacterized. The record is from RefSeq and is a predicted model, not a curated record. NCBI's taxonomy places the organism in Eukaryota, Viridiplantae, Streptophyta, Magnoliopsida, Solanales, Convolvulaceae. The transcript has 3 exons.
UUCGUAGUUGUGGUUCUAUUCCGAUGACUGGACAUCAUCGAAGACUUAAAGAAAAGCUUGGAAAAGAUACAAGUCUUGCAGACUUGUAUCAACACACUCAUAAAAGGAAAAAUGGAGAUGGAGCAUAUGUUUGUCCAAAAGCUCAAAAAGUUGUGGAUACAAUGAAUGAAUUGCGACAGACUCAGAUUGA